GCUUCCUACGGGAGGCAGCAGUAGGGAAUUUUGCGCAAUGGGGGAAACCCUGACGCAGCAACGCCAUGUGUGGGAUGAAGCAUUUCGGUGUGUAAACCACUGUCAGCGGGGAAUAAACGGCAGCUUCGGGCUGCUUUGAAUGUACCCGCAAGGGAAGCCCCGGCUAACUUCGUGCCAGCAGCCGCGGUAAUACGAGGGGGGCAAAUGUUGUUCGGAAUCACUGGGCGUAAAGGGAGCGUAGGCGGGUUUUUAAGUUAGGUGUUUAAUCCCGGGGCCCAACCCCGGACCGGCACUUAAAACUGGGAAUCUUGAAUAGUGGAGAGGUCGGUGGAAUUGGGGGUGUAGCGGUGGAAUGCGUAGAGAUCCCCAAGAACACCAGUUGCGAAGGCGGCCGACUGGACACAUAUUGACGCUGAGGCUCGAAAGCAUGGGGAGCAAACAGGAUUAGAUACCCUGGUAGUCCAUGCCAUAAACGAUGAAUACUAGGUUUUGGGCCCGUCAACGGUCCAGAGCCGCAGCUAACGCGUUAAGUAUUCCGCCUGGGGAGUACGGUCGCAAGACUGAAACUCAAAGGAAUUGACGGAAGC
This 587-nucleotide ribosomal RNA is filed under the name uncultured bacterium. Its description in RNAcentral is "bacterial SSU rRNA". It matches the Rfam family "Bacterial small subunit ribosomal RNA", at positions 334 to 920 of the family's 1533-position model. The record is from RNAcentral.